This 112-nucleotide transfer RNA is filed under the name Hufsiella arboris. Its description in RNAcentral is "tRNA-Asp". The record is from RNAcentral. Lineage: Bacteria; Pseudomonadati; Bacteroidota; Sphingobacteriia; Sphingobacteriales; Sphingobacteriaceae.
UGUAGGGUGGUGAAAUUGGCAGACACACCUCCUUGUCUCGGUGGCGGAGAUUCUGGGAAAUUCGUUUCGGCGAACUAACCACUCCUUGUAGGUUCGACUCCUACCCCUACAG